AUUGAACGCUGGCGGCAUGCCUUACACAUGCAAGUCGAACGGUAACGGGUCCUUCGGGAUGCCGACGAGUGGCGAACGGGUGAGUAAUAUAUCGGAACGUGCCCAGUAGUGGGGGAUAACUGCUCGAAAGAGCAGCUAAUACCGCAUACGACCUGAGGGUGAAAGGGGGGGAUCGCAAGACCUCUCGCUAUUGGAGCGGCCGAUAUCAGAUUAGCUAGUUGGUGGGGUAAAGGCCUACCAAGGCAACGAUCUGUAGUUGGUCUGAGAGGACGACCAGCCACACUGGGACUGAGACACGGCCCAGACUCCUACGGGAGGCAGCAGUGGGGAAUUUUGGACAAUGGGCGCAAGCCUGAUCCAGCAAUGCCGCGUGCAGGAAGAAGGCCUUCGGGUUGUAAACUGCUUUUGUCAGGGAAGAAAUCUUCUGGGCUAAUACCCCGGGAGGAUGACGGUACCUGAAGAAUAAGCACCGGCUAACUACGUGCCAGCAGCCGCGGUAAUACGUAGGGUGCGAGCGUUAAUCGGAAUUACUGGGCGUAAAGCGUGCGCAGGCGGCUUUGCAAGACAGAUGUGAAAUCCCCGGGCUCAACCUGGGAACUGCAUUUGUGACUGCAAGGCUAGAGUACGGCAGAGGGGGAUGGAAUUCCGCGUGUAGCAGUGAAAUGCGUAGAUAUGCGGAGGAACACCAAUGGCGAAGGCAAUCCCCUGGGCCUGUACUGACGCUCAUGCACGAAAGCGUGGGGAGCAAACAGGAUUAGAUACCCUGGUAGUCCACGCCCUAAACGAUGUCAACUGGUUGUUGGACGGCUUGCUGUUCAGUAACGAAGCUAACGCGUGAAGUUGACCGCCUGGGGAGUACGGCCGCAAGGUUGAAACUCAAAGGAACUGACGGGGACCCGCACAAGCGGUGGAUGAUGUGGUUUAAUUCGAUGCAACGCGAAAAACCUUACCUACCCUUGACAUGUCAAGAAUUCUGCAGAGAUGUGGAAGUGCUCGAAAGAGAACUUGAACACAGGUGCUGCAUGGCCGUCGUCAGCUCGUGUCGUGAGAUGUUGGGUUAAGUCCCGCAACGAGCGCAACCCUUGUCAUUAGUUGCUACGCAAGAGCACUCUAAUGAGACUGCCGGUGACAAACCGGAGGAAGGUGGGGAUGACGUCAGGUCCUCAUGGCCCUUAUGGGUAGGGCUACACACGUCAUACAAUGGCCGGUACAGAGGGCUGCCAACCCGCGAGGGGGAGCCAAUCCCAGAAAACCGGUCGUAGUCCGGAUCGUAGUCUGCAGCUCGACUGCGUGAAGUCGGAAUCGCUAGUAAUCGCGGAUCAGCUUGCCGCGGUGAAUACGUUCCCGGGUCU
Molecule: ribosomal RNA, 1352 nt
Filed under: uncultured bacterium
Lineage: Bacteria
Description: bacterial SSU rRNA
Rfam family: Bacterial small subunit ribosomal RNA
Source: RNAcentral